RNAcentral lists this ribosomal RNA (253 nucleotides) under uncultured bacterium. Its description in RNAcentral is "partial 16S ribosomal RNA". It matches the Rfam family "Bacterial small subunit ribosomal RNA", at positions 524 to 776 of the family's 1533-position model. The record is from RNAcentral.
UACGUAGGGUGCAAGCGUUGUCCGGAAUUAUUGGGCGUAAAGAGCUCGUAGGCGGUCUGUCGCGUCGGCUGUGAAAUCCCGAGGCUCAACCUCGGGUCUGCAGUCGAUACGGGCAAACUAGAGUAUUGCAGGGGAGACUGGAAUUCCUGGUGUAGCGGUGAAAUGCGCAGAUAUCAGGAGGAACACCGGUGGCGAAGGCGGGUCUCUGGGCAAUAACUGACGCUGAGGAGCGAAAGCGUGAGGAGCAAACAGG